AUCGAGCGAAAUUGAGACGAGAGCGCGGCAAAUGUCCCGCCGCUCUAAAGCCACAAGGAGCUUUGUGUUUUGUUUUGCGGUCACGGGACUGCCCUAGAGGCCUCCGGGAGAAGCGGAGGCGAAAGACGACCGACCGAGGGGGGCACUAGGCAGCAGCAGGUAAAACACGUACAGAACUCACUACACGAAGCCCUACCCCCAUAGUUUCUUCGCUUGGCACAACUUGGCUCGACAGGCGGAGCCAAGCCAACCAGCUUUUGCGCGCACGCCGCCUGCAGCCGGGGGAGCUCCCAGACUGGCGUCGGAGCCGCUCCCGUCCUGCGCACCUUGGCGCAGCGCCUGCCUGGUUUCCGAGGCCACGCGGCUUGCCCGACUGAGUUUGGGCGGGGCCGCGGUGAGAGGUCUCGUUGCCUUUAACCAAAGGAGAGGGCAGGACACAGCGUUAAGAAGGGGCGGGCCGAGGGAAUAGUUAUAAUAGGGUGUAUGAGAGACCUAGAUCGAAAAAUAUCUCGGAAGAAAGCAGUGGGGGGCAGCGAAACACUUCUGCAACUGUCUGGUCAGCUUGACUGUCUGAGGCACCCUUUUUUUAUUGCUUAAUCCUGCUUAGCUUCCAACAGCUGAUUUUCUCGCCUGGCCCAGCCACCUCCUUUCGUGGAGCUCAGCUCAACCUAAGAUGGCCAAAACAUGUCUCCAAUUUGUGUGCUGGCUCCGUUAAUGCACCCACCCGUCAUUCUUUGCCUUCCUUGCCGGCGUGGCGCUUAUAUUCGGAAACAAUCCCCUCGGUGCCAGUGGGAAUCCUGUACCCUUUCGAGCGCCGUCUGUUUUAUUUAGAGGUUUCAGUGCGUAACUGAAGGGCUCUCAGCUACGCUAAGAGGGCCGGUUAGGCAAGGCGUUCUUGCGCCUAUAAAAUAAAUGCGCCGCGAAACAAACCGCCUUCACUGAACUAACCCUGCUUGACUAAUAGGGCCGAACAUUAUAACGCUCCCUUUGGGCAGAAGCUGCUGAACUCGAGUCCCCCGGCUGGAAUAAGCCCCCCGCGAUACUUGACAGAGUCUCGAGGAAACGUCGGGCCAGGCAGCGACCUCGUUCCCACGUCAGCCCCACCCAGCUCUGCAACAGCUGAGCUUUUCCUCUCGCCUGACGAACAGCUGUUUCUUUCUCUUCUUGCCCUGGCCCCCUUUGGUGAAAUGCGGUUUGUGGAGAAGGGGCCAUGCGAGGCAACCGGGAAAGACGGACCCAAACGCGGGCGAACGUUUCUGAAAGGAUUGCCUGCCACGACACGAUUCUUCGGUUUUUCUUCUCAUCCUCACUUCUCAGCUAUCGUGGCUGAACAUCUGGUGGGAAAAUAAAAGAAUAUUCUAUGACUCUUUCCAAGAUGAAAUUUAUGUAAGAAGUGUGCAAAUAAAUAAGUAAUGCAAUACCUCCUUAAAUUAGGA
This 1436-nucleotide long non-coding RNA is filed under the name Salvator merianae (Argentine black and white tegu). Its description in RNAcentral is "lncRNA (ENSSMRG00000005129.1)". Lineage: Eukaryota; Metazoa; Chordata; Lepidosauria; Squamata; Teiidae. The record is from RNAcentral.